CAACCUGAGGAAGCCAUUUCAUGCAGAAUGUCAUGCAGUUUUAUCUGGAACUUGUUUAGUUUUGAUAAUUUAGCCUCACAUCUCUCUCUCUCUCUCUUCUUUUUCUUCAAAGCUUGCAAAUCUUGAAGCUUGCAAUUGGCCACGUUAGAAGAUACGUUCGGUAAGGAAGCUUCAAUAUAGGUGUAACAUGGUAGAGAGACAUCAUGGACCACUAUGCUUCUUCUCCCCUCUUUUGCUUCUCAUGCGUGUUAAAUGUCAGCCUCUAAAGUCAUGCCAUAUGUUGUCUUCGUAGAUAUAAAAACUGAGAGGUGUAAUAUCUGUGCAAUCAUUAGUCAUGCUGAUGACAAGGCACAACCUGCUCACCAGAAACAAGACGCUCAAGCAAUUCUUCGCAGCUGGAAAUCCAACAUCAAAAGAGGGCUGAAACCUGCGACUUGUUUAACCAGCAAGGAAAUGUGAAAGACACUGACUUGUAUAGAGCCAAAAUGCAAACAAAACCUUUUCCAUUCAUAGCAGAAGCUGAGGCCAGAGAACAAUAAGACAAUGGCACAGUAAGUAAAUCGGAAAGAAU
Molecule: long non-coding RNA, 571 nt
Organism: Crotalus tigris (Tiger rattlesnake)
Lineage: Eukaryota; Metazoa; Chordata; Lepidosauria; Squamata; Viperidae
Exons: 3
Source: RefSeq, a predicted model, not a curated record